RNAcentral lists this ribosomal RNA (373 nucleotides) under uncultured bacterium. RNAcentral's name for it is "bacterial SSU rRNA". It matches the Rfam family "Bacterial small subunit ribosomal RNA", at positions 521 to 896 of the family's 1533-position model. The record is from RNAcentral.
UAAUACGGAGGGUGCAAGCGUUGUCCGGAUUUAUUGGGUUUAAAGGGUGCGUAGGUGGAACUGUAAGUCUGAUUUGAAAGCAAGCGGCUUAACCGUUUGAUGUGGUUGGAAACUGUGGUUCUUGAAUGGGUUGGCGGUAGCCGGAAUGGGUCAUGUAGCGGUGAAAUGCAUAGAUAUGACCCGGAACACCGAUUGCGAAGGCAGGCUACUACGACUUGAUUGACACUGAGGCACGAGAGCAUGGGUAGCGAACAGGAUUAGAUACCCUGGUAGUCCAUGCCGUAAACGAUGAUUACUGGCUGUAUGUGUUCUAACAUGUGUGGCUGAGCGAAAGCGUUAAGUAAUCCACCUGGGGAGUACGCUGGCAACAGUG